AAUAAGCGGAGGAAAAGAAACUAACAAGGAUUCCCCUAGUAACGGCGAGUGAAGCGGGAUGAGCUCAAAUUUGAAAGCUGGCCUCUGGUCCGCAUUGUAAUCUCGAGAAGUGUUUUCCGUGCCGGAUUGCGUACAAGUCCCUUGGAAUAGGGCGUCGUAGAGGGUGAGAAUCCCGUACUUGACGCAGGCUCCGGUGCUUUGUGAUACACUCUCCAAGAGUCGAGUUGUUUGGGAAUGCAGCUCAAAAUGGGUGGUAAAUUCCAUCUAAAGCUAAAUAGUGGGGAGAGACCGAUAGCGAACAAGUACCGUGAGGGAAAGAUGAAAAGCACUUUGGAAAGAGAGUUAAACAGUACGUGAAAUUGUCGAAAGGGAAGCGCUGGAAGUCAGCCAUGCCAGUCGAAAUUCAGCCUUGCUUCUGCCUGGUGUACUUUUCGACUGGCAGGCCAGCAUCGGUUUGGAUCGCCGGAGAAGGGCGAGAGGAAGGUGGCACCCUCGGGUGUGUUAUAGCCUCUCGCUGGAUACGGCGGCCUGGACCGAGGAACGCAGUGUGCCUUUUGGUGGGCCUUUGGGCACCUUCACACUUUGGAUGCUGGCGUAAUGGCUUUCAGCGACCCGUCUUGAAACACGGACCAAGGAGUCUAACAUGUUUGCGAGUCUUUGGGUGCCAAACCCAUGGGCGCAAUGAAAGUGAAUGCAGGUGGGAUCCUCACGGAGCACCAUCGACCGAUCCUGAUCUUCUGAGACGGAUU
RNAcentral lists this ribosomal RNA (749 nucleotides) under Jamesdicksonia irregularis. RNAcentral's name for it is "LSU rRNA". It matches the Rfam family "Eukaryotic large subunit ribosomal RNA", at positions 45 to 790 of the family's 3401-position model. Lineage: Eukaryota; Fungi; Basidiomycota; Exobasidiomycetes; Georgefischeriales; Georgefischeriaceae. The record is from RNAcentral.